CAGUUUAGAGCGCGGGCUUUGGAGUAGCUCAGAGUUGUGUUAUAACCUUGGCUUCUUUACUCACCUAGGACAUAGACUCUCUCUUUAGCUGUAGCUUCCUCCCCUCUGAGAUGGAAAUUAUAAACCAUCUCGCAAUGUGGUGAGGAUUGUAGCUCAAGUGUGUAAAAUGCCUCCUCUGUGGGCUCUCCUUGGAGAGUUCUUGUAUCCUAUUGAUUGUCAUCAAAGGAAAAAAGUGGCAGGAUGAUGGUGUUAAGUGGGAAGAACCUUGAGUUUAAUAGUCUGAAAAAGUGGUUACAGGUUCUUGCUGUGCUUUUCCUCUCUGGUUUUCUGAACCCAUCGCCUAACCUGAAGCCUUAAACUUCAUCUGCAAAAAUGUUUUGUGGCAGGUGCCUCUGAAGCAGAACUCUUGAGAUGGAAGGAUUGUCAUCUGAGGAAAAAAAAUCAAGAUUAAGAGAGGAGGAACUAGAAUGAGAUUCACAUACCCUCUCUCCUCCACAGGAAGGAGAGAGUGGUGAUGCCUGCCCACUCCUUCCUGGGCAGAACGUUUGUAGCAUGGAACAUUGGAGAAUUUGCAGUCUGCUGACUUUCUGAUUUAGGAGGUUGAUGAGGAGGCCUUAUAAUUUGCAUUUCUAACAAGUUCUGAGGUGAUGGUUCAAGUAUGUCCAGGCAGAAGGGCCACCUCACAGAGAUUUCUGCCAUACCACGUGGGAAUUGAAGUCACAGACAUCUCCAACCCUCAAGCCUGAAACCAAAAGACUGAAAACCAACACUACAGUGGACAAAGAACAUCUCAGAACUUCUGUGGGGACCAGUGACACAAGGACCUAAGGUCUCUCUCGUCUCAUCUUGGCACUUCAGAAGUCUCCCCAAUCUUGACAAAGCCCUGGAGAAAGGGGCGGGCCUCCCGUUGAUAAGAUUAUCACUGCAGAUAAAUGGAGGUUUCAAAUUGAAAGAAAGGAGGAGGGCCUCCUGUUGAUAAAAUUAUUGCCACUGCAGGUAAAUGGAGGUUUCAAAUAGAAAUACGUUUCAGUUACAGAAAAAAAAAUUAUCUUUGUUACACAUUUGAGUUUGCAGGCCUAAGGUUACUCCUGCUACACUAUCAUCCGUAACCAUAAGGCACUCAACAUUUUAAGCUAACUAUAAGGAUUUUUGCUUCACUCAAAGAUCUUGAGGUCUUAUUCACUUAACAUUUUUAUUUGGUGACUAUAGUUGACAAGAACAAAGCUGUGGGGAACCAACAAACACUGUAAUGCCUGGCAUUGUCACCUCAGUAGAUUGUGAGUUCCUCUGGGACAGGGUCCAUACAUUUUCUUCAAAUCCCUCACUUAGCCAUUAGCCUGCACAGUGCUUAUACUUAGUAAGUGCUCAGUAAAUGUUUUUGGAAUGAAUGCAUGAUGAACAAAAUAUAUACUGAGGACUCUGGUGUUGAUUCUUGUUGAUAAUGUAAUAGUUAAGAUAUGUUAUAAAUAUUGUAUCAAAA
Long non-coding RNA from Nomascus leucogenys (northern white-cheeked gibbon), 1480 nucleotides. RefSeq lists it as uncharacterized. The transcript has 2 exons. The record is from RefSeq and is a predicted model, not a curated record. NCBI's taxonomy places the organism in Eukaryota, Metazoa, Chordata, Mammalia, Primates, Hylobatidae.